This 64-nucleotide transfer RNA is filed under the name Rhyparobia grandis. RNAcentral describes it as "tRNA-Ala". Lineage: Eukaryota; Metazoa; Arthropoda; Insecta; Blattodea; Blaberidae. The record is from RNAcentral.
AGGAUAGUAGUUAAUUAUAACAUUUGGGUUGCAUUCAAAAAGUAUUGAUUUUUCAAUUUAUCUU